AACCUUAUGGACCUGCGGGCGUAUACCUGCGGAAGGAUCAUUACCAGUACCACCGUCGCCUCCGGGCGUCGGUCUACUACCAACCCUUUGUCAUCCGACCUCGUUGCCUCCGGGUGCGACCCUGACCUUCGGGUCUCGCGUCUCCCCGGGUGGACACACAUCAAAACUCUGCAUAACUUUGUAGUCUGAGUAAAACUUUUAAUUAAAUUAAAACUUUCAACAACGGAUCUCAGAUCGGAA
RNAcentral lists this unclassified non-coding RNA (240 nucleotides) under soil metagenome. RNAcentral's name for it is "partial contains 5.8S ribosomal RNA, internal transcribed spacer 2, and large subunit ribosomal RNA". The record is from RNAcentral.